RNAcentral lists this ribosomal RNA (1470 nucleotides) under Alexandrium andersonii. RNAcentral's name for it is "partial large subunit ribosomal RNA". It matches the Rfam family "Eukaryotic large subunit ribosomal RNA", at positions 23 to 1464 of the family's 3401-position model. The record is from RNAcentral. Lineage: Eukaryota; Dinophyceae; Gonyaulacales; Pyrocystaceae.
ACCCGCUGAAUUUAAGCAUAUAAGUAGGCGGUGGAAAAUAAACCAAAUGGGAUUCCUUAAGUAAUGGCGAAUGAACAAGGAACUGCUCAACUUGAAAAUCGGGGCUUCUGGCCUUGAAUUGUAAUUUUGAAAUGUAUUGCCAAUGGAGGCGCAGGUGCAAGCCAAUUGAAAGAAAGCGUCAAAGAAGGUGAAAAUCCUUUUUGCCAUUUGCAGCCCUCCGUGCACGGUAUAUAUUUGACGAGUCACACUCCUCGGCAUUGGAAUGCAAAGUGGGUGGUAAAUUUCAUGUAAAGAUUAAUAUAUUAUUGAGACUGAUAGCGAACAAGUACCAUGAGGGAAAUAUGAAAAGGACUUUGAAAAGAGAAUUAAAAGAGUCUGCACUUGCUGAACAGAAAGCAAACAGAAGUGAUUAUGCUUGGUAAGAUUGUUGCGUCUUGUUGUUCUGCAACUUGGGCGCAGUGGUUCUCACCUUGUCUGCCAGCAUCUUUUCUGCAAAUCAGAACCCUGGCACAUGACUGGUAAUUCGCCUGCGGGUGUUGGAAUGCAUGUGUUUGCUAUGAUUUGUGAUUAGAUUUGUGCGUGUGGUGCUUCGGUGUGUGGCUCUUUGUUGGGGAGGAAUUCUCCUCCGCCCUGCUGAAUCCCUUGCGCUACAUCGCUGGCAAAAUGUUUCUGCUUGACCCGUCUUGAAACACGGACCAAGGAGUCUAACAGAUGUGCGAGUUCAUGGGUGUCCAAACCCUUAGCGCAAUGAAAGUAUUGGCUGGGAUAUUUGCACCAGCAGCCGACCGAUUAGCAGACAGAGGUUUGAGUUUGAGCACAUCUAUUAGGACCCGAAAGAUGGUGAACUAUGCCUGAACAGAACAAAUUCAGAGGAAACUCUGAUGGAGGUUCGUAUCGAUACUGACGUGCAAAUCGUUCGUCAUACUUGGGUAUAGGGGCGAAAGACUAAUCGAACCAUCUAGUAGCUGGUUCCCUCCGAAGUUUCCCUCAGGAUAGCUGGAGUUGCACAGUUUUAUCAGGUAAAGCGAAUGAUUAGAGGAAUUGGGGACACGCUGUCCUUGACCUAUUCUCAAACUUUAAAUGGGUAAGAUGCAAUGGUUGCUUUAUUGGACUUUUGUUGGAAAUGGCAAUAUCAGGUGGGCCAUUUUUGGUAAGCAGAACCGGCGAUGAGGGAUGAACCUAACGUUGGGUUAAGGUGCUUAACUGCUCGCUCAUUAGAUACCAGAAAGGGUGUUGGUUCAUUUUAACAGCAGGACGGUGGUCAUGGAAGUCGAAAUCCGCUAAGGAGUGUGUAACAACUCACCUGCCGAAUGGACUAGCCCCGAAAAUGGAUGGCGCUCAAGCGGGUGACCGAUACCCAACCACUGUUGCAAAGAAAUCAGUGUGUAGGAGGGCAUGGUGGUUUGUGAUGCAGCCUUUGGUGAGAACCUGGGUGAAACAACCUCUAGUGCAGAUCUUGGUGGUAGUAGC